This 39-nucleotide transfer RNA is filed under the name Lyropaeus sp. UPOL VP2312. RNAcentral's name for it is "partial tRNA-Ser". Lineage: Eukaryota; Metazoa; Arthropoda; Insecta; Coleoptera; Lycidae. The record is from RNAcentral.
AUUAACAAAUUAAUGCUUUUUAGAAGUUAGAAGCUUCUC